AAGUCGUAACAAGGUUUCCGUAGGUGAACCUGCGGAAGGAUCAUUAACGAAUUUUGGUCGAGUGUGGGUAAGAGUCUUCUCUUACCAGCUCGGCUGAUUUCCCGCCCUUGGUUAUACAUUACUGUUGCUUUGGUAGGGUUUCACAGCCCUGCCAAAGGUAUCAAAACUCUUGGUUAAAACUUUUGUUAUCAAGGAUGAAUAAUCCUCUUAAGAAUAUACCAAAACUUUCAACAACGGAUCUCUUGGUUCCG
This 251-nucleotide unclassified non-coding RNA is filed under the name fungal sp. RNAcentral describes it as "partial internal transcribed spacer region". The stretch from base 1 to 46 matches the Rfam family "Eukaryotic small subunit ribosomal RNA", at positions 1786 to 1831 of the family's 1831-position model. The record is from RNAcentral. Lineage: Eukaryota; Fungi.